CUUAACACAUGCAAGUCGAGGGGCAGCAUGGUCUUAGCUUGCUAAGGCUGAUGGCGACCGGCGCACGGGUGAGUAACACGUAUCCAACCUGCCGUCUACUCUUGGCCAGCCUUCUGAAAGGAAGAUUAAUCCAGGAUGGCAUCAUGAGUUCACAUGUCCGCAUGAUUAAAGGUAUUUUCCGGUAGACGAUGGGGAUGCGUUCCAUUAGAUAGUAGGCGGGGUAACGGCCCACCUAGUCAACGAUGGAUAGGGGUUCUGAGAGGAAGGUCCCCCACAUUGGAACUGAGACACGGUCCAAACUCCUACGGGAGGCAGCAGUGAGGAAUAUUGGUCAAUGGGCGAUGGCCUGAACCAGCCAAGUAGCGUGAAGGAUGACUGCCCUAUGGGUUGUAAACUUCUUUUAUAAAGGAAUAAAGUCGGGUAUGCAUACCCGUUUGCAUGUACUUUAUGAAUAAGGAUCGGCUAACUCCGUGCCAGCAGCCGCGGUAAUACGGAGGAUCCGAGCGUUAUCCGGAUUUAUUGGGUUUAAAGGGAGCGUAGAUGGAUGUUUAAGUCAGUUGUGAAAGUUUGCGGCUCAACCGUAAAAUUGCAGUUGAUACUGGAUGUCUUGAGUGCAGUUGAGGCAGGCGGAAUUCGUGGUGUAGCGGUGAAAUGCUUAGAUAUCACGAAGAACUCCGAUUGCGAAGGCAGCCUGCUAAGCUGCAACUGACAUUGAGGCUCGAAAGUGUGGGUAUCAAA
Molecule: ribosomal RNA, 738 nt
Filed under: uncultured Bacteroidales bacterium
Lineage: Bacteria; Pseudomonadati; Bacteroidota; Bacteroidia; Bacteroidales
Description: bacterial SSU rRNA
Rfam family: Bacterial small subunit ribosomal RNA
Source: RNAcentral